RNAcentral lists this ribosomal RNA (253 nucleotides) under uncultured bacterium. RNAcentral's name for it is "partial 16S ribosomal RNA". It matches the Rfam family "Bacterial small subunit ribosomal RNA", at positions 524 to 776 of the family's 1533-position model. The record is from RNAcentral.
UACGAAGGGGGCGAGCGUUGUUCGGAUUUACUGGGCGUAAAGGGCGCGUAGGCGGCGCCGGAAGUCAGGCGUGAAAGCCCCGGGCUCAACCUGGGAGGUGCGCUUGGGACUCUGGUGCUUGAGUUCGGGAGAGGAGAGUGGAAUUCCCAGUGUAGAGGUGAAAUUCGUAGAUAUUGGGAAGAACACCGGUGGCGAAGGCGGCUCUCUGGACCGAGACUGACGCUGAGGCGCGAAAGCGUGGGGAGCAAACAGG